ACGUAGGGUGCAAGCGUUAAUCGGAAUUACUGGGCGUAAAGCGUGCGCAGGCGGUUUUGUAAGACAGAGGUGAAAUCCCCGGGCUCAACCUGGGAACUGCCUUUGUGACUGCAAGGCUGGAGUGCGGCAGAGGGGGAUGGAAUUCCGCGUGUAGCAGUGAAAUGCGUAGAGAUCCGGUGGAACACCAGAGGCGAAGGCGACACCCUGGGCCGUACCUGACGCUAAGACGCGACAGCACGGGGAGCGAACGG
RNAcentral lists this ribosomal RNA (251 nucleotides) under uncultured prokaryote. RNAcentral describes it as "partial 16S ribosomal RNA". It matches the Rfam family "Bacterial small subunit ribosomal RNA", at positions 525 to 775 of the family's 1533-position model. The record is from RNAcentral.